RNAcentral lists this ribosomal RNA (445 nucleotides) under uncultured bacterium. RNAcentral describes it as "partial 16S ribosomal RNA". It matches the Rfam family "Bacterial small subunit ribosomal RNA", at positions 330 to 792 of the family's 1533-position model. The record is from RNAcentral.
UCCAGACUCCUACGGGAGGCAGCAGUGGGGAAUAUUGCACAAUGGGGGGAACCCUGAUGCAGCGACGCCGCGUGGGUGAAGGAGCACCUCGGUGCGUAAAGCCCUAUCGGCAGGGAAGAAACAGACGGUACCUGACUAAGAAGCCCCGGCUAACUACGUGCCAGCAGCCGCGGUAAUACGUAGGGGGCAAGCGUUAUCCGGAUUCACUGGGUGUAAAGGGAGCGUAGACGGCCAAGCAAGCCAGGGGUGAAAGCCCGGGGCCCAACCCCGGGACUGCCCUUGGAACUGCUUGGCUGGAGUGCGGGAGGGGCAGGCGGAAUUCCUGGUGUAGCGGUGAAAUGCGUAGAUAUCAGGAGGAACACCGGUGGCGAAGGCGGCCUGCUGGACUGCGACUGACGUUGAGGCCCGAAAGCGUGGGGAGCAAACAGGAUUAGAUACCCGAGUA